GACCAUCCUCCAAGGCUAAAUACUCCUGACUGACCGAUAGUGAACCAGUACCGUGAGGGAAAGGCGAAAAGAACCCCGGCGAGGGGAGUGAAAAAGAACCUGAAACCGUGUACGUACAAGCAGUGGGAGCACGCUUAGGCGUGUGACUGCGUACCUUUUGUAUAAUGGGUCAGCGACUUAUAUUCUGUAGCAAGGUUAACCGAAUAGGGGAGCCGAAGGGAAACCGAGUCUUAACUGGGCGUUAAGUUGCAGGGUAUAGACCCGAAACCCGGUGAUCUAGCCAUGGGCAGGUUGAAGGUUGGGUAACACUAACUGGAGGACCGAACCGACUAAUGUUGAAAAAUUAGCGGAUGACUUGUGGCUGGGGGUGAAAGGCCAAUCAAACCGGGAGAUAGCUGGUUCUCCCCGAAAGCUAUUUAGGUAGCGCCUCGUGAAUUCAUCUCCGGGGGUAGAGCACUGUUUCGGCAAGGGGGUCAUCCCGACUUACCAACCCGAUGCAAACUGCGAAUACCGGAGAAUGUUAUCACGGGAGACACACGGCGGGUGCUAACGUCCGUCGUGAAGAGGGAAACAACCCAGACCGCCAGCUAAGGUCCCAAAGUCAUGGUUAAGUGGGAAACGAUGUGGGAAGGCCCAGACAGCCAGGAUGUUGGCUUAGAAGCAGCCAUCAUUUAAAGAAAGCGUAAUAGCUCACUGGUCGAGUCGGCCUGCGCGGAAGAUGUAACGGGGCUAAACCAUGCACCGAAGCUGCGGCAGCGACGCUUAUGCGUUGUUGGGUAGGGGAGCGUUCUGUAAGCCUGUGAAGGUGUACUGUGAGGUAUGCUGGAGGUAUCAGAAGUGCGAAUGCUGACAUAAGUAACGAUAAAGCGGGUGAAAAGCCCGCUCGCCGGAAGACCAAGGGUUCCUGUCCAACGUUAAUCGGGGCAGGGUGAGUCGACCCCUAAGGCGAGGCCGAAAGGCGUAGUCGAUGGGAAACAGGUUAAUAUUCCUGUACUUGGUGUUACUGCGAAGGGGGGACGGAGAAGGCUAUGUUGGCCGGGCGACGGUUGUCCCGGUUUAAGCGUGUAGGCUGGUUUUCCAGGCAAAUCCGGAAAAUCAAGGCUGAGGCGUGAUGACGAGGCACUACGGUGCUGAAGCAACAAAUGCCCUGCUUCCAGGAAAAGCCUCUAAGCAUCAGGUAACAUCAAAUCGUACCCCAAACCGACACAGGUGGUCAGGUAGAGAAUACCAAGGCGCUUGAGAGAACUCGGGUGAAGGAACUAGGCAAAAUGGUGCCGUAACUUCGGGAGAAGGCACGCUGAUAUGUAGGUGAAGUCCCUCGCGGAUGGAGCUGAAAUCAGUCGAAGAUACCAGCUGGCUGCAACUGUUUAUUAAAAACACAGCACUGUGCAAACACGAAAGUGGACGUAUACGGUGUGACGCCUGCCCGGUGC
Molecule: ribosomal RNA, 1433 nt
Filed under: Escherichia coli
Lineage: Bacteria; Pseudomonadati; Pseudomonadota; Gammaproteobacteria; Enterobacterales; Enterobacteriaceae
Description: partial 23S ribosomal RNA
Rfam family: Bacterial large subunit ribosomal RNA
Source: RNAcentral